GACGAACGCUGGCGGCGUGCUUAACACAUGCAAGUCGAACGGUAAGGCCCUUCGGGGUACACGAGUGGCGAACGGGUGAGUAACACGUGGGUGAUCUGCCCUGCACUUUGGGAUAAGCCUGGGAAACUGGGUCUAAUACCGAAUACACCCUGCUGGUCGCAUGGCCUGGUGGGGGAAAGCUUUUGCGGUGUGGGAUGGGCCCGCGGCCUAUCAGCUUGUUGGUGGGGGGAUGGCCUACCAAGGCGACGACGGGUAGCCGGCCUGAGAGGGUGACCGGCCACACUGGGACUGAGGUACGGCCCAGACUCCUACGGGAGGCAGCAGUGGGGAAUAUUGCACAAUGGGCGCAAGCCUGAUGCAGCGACGCCGCGUGAGGGAUGACGGCCUUCGGGUUGUAAACCUCUUUCAAUAGGGACGAAGCGCAAGUGACGGUACCUAUAGAAGAAGGACCGGCCAACUACGUGCCAGCAGCCGCCGUAA
This 480-nucleotide ribosomal RNA is filed under the name uncultured bacterium. Its description in RNAcentral is "partial 16S ribosomal RNA". It matches the Rfam family "Bacterial small subunit ribosomal RNA", at positions 28 to 523 of the family's 1533-position model. The record is from RNAcentral.